CCCUUAGAUGUUCUGGGCAGCACGCGCGCUACACUGAUGCAUUCAACGAGUCUAAAACCUGCUCUGAUAGGGGUGGGUAAUCUUUUGAAUGUGCAUCGUGAUUGGGAUAGAUGAUUGCAAUUUUUCAUCUUCAACGAGGAAUGCCUAGUAAACGCAAGUCAUCAGCUUGCAUUGAUUACGUCCCUGCCCUUUGUACACACCGCCCGUCGCUCCUACCGAUUGAAUGAUCCGAUGAAUAUCAUGGAUUGAGGAUGCAAGUAGGUUAGCCUAUCUUCAUCUUCGAGAAGUGAAGUAAAUCUUAUCAUUUAGAGGAAGGAGAAGUCGUAACA
RNAcentral lists this ribosomal RNA (329 nucleotides) under uncultured eukaryote. RNAcentral describes it as "partial 18S ribosomal RNA". It matches the Rfam family "Eukaryotic small subunit ribosomal RNA", at positions 1470 to 1796 of the family's 1831-position model. The record is from RNAcentral.